Molecule: ribosomal RNA, 300 nt
Filed under: uncultured Methanocalculus sp.
Lineage: Archaea; Methanobacteriati; Methanobacteriota; Methanomicrobia; Methanomicrobiales; Methanocalculaceae
Description: bacterial SSU rRNA
Rfam family: Bacterial small subunit ribosomal RNA
Source: RNAcentral
GACGAUGUGUGGGAGUAAGCUGAGGUAAAAGGAAGGCGGUGAGCGUUGUGCGGAAUUACUGGGGGUAAAGGGCGUGAAGGCGGCUCUGAAAGUCAGAUGUGAAAGCCCCGGGCUUAACCUGGGAAUUUCAUUUGAUACUCUGGAGCUUGAGUACGGGAGAGGAGAGUGGAAUUCCCAGUGUAGAGGUGAAAUUCGUAGAUAUUGGGAAGAACACCGGUGGCGAAGGCGGCUCUCUGGACCGUAACUGACGCUGAGGCGCGAAAGCGUGGGGAGCAAACAGGAUUAGAUACCCGGGUAGUC